AGUGAACGCUGGCGGUAUGCCUAACACAUGCAAGUCGAACGGCAGCACAGUAAGAGCUUGCUCUUACGGGUGGCGAGUGGCGGACGGGUGAGGAAUACAUCGGAAUCUACUUUUUCGUGGGGGAUAACGUAGGGAAACUUACGCUAAUACCGCAUACGACCUACGGGUGAAAGCAGGGGAUCUUCGGACCUUUCGCGAUUGAAUGAGCCGAUGUCGGAUUAGCUAGUUGGCGGGGUAAGGGCCCACCAAGGCGACGAUCCGUAGCUGGUCUGAGAGGAUGAUCAGCCACACUGGAACUGAGACACGGUCCAGACUCCUACGGGAGGCAGCAGUGGGGAAUAUUGGACAAUGGGCGCAAGCCUGAUCCAGCCAUACCGCGUGGGUGAAGAAGGCCUUCGGGUUGUAAAGCCCUGUUGUUAGGAAAGAAAAGCAGCAGGUUAAUACCCCGCUGUUCUGACGGUACCCAAAGAAUAAGCACCGGCUAACUUCGUG
Molecule: ribosomal RNA, 492 nt
Filed under: uncultured bacterium
Lineage: Bacteria
Description: partial 16S ribosomal RNA
Rfam family: Bacterial small subunit ribosomal RNA
Source: RNAcentral